GACAGAGGCCUCGAGCGUUAGGCGGAAUCACUGGGCUUAAAGCGUGUGUAGGCGGGCCCGUAAGUGUCUUGUGAAAUCCCACGGCUCAACCGUGGAACUGCUGGGCAUACUGCGGGUCUUGGGCCAACUAGGGGCAGCCGGAACAAGCGGUGGAGCGGUGAAAUGCGUAGAUAUCGCUUGGAACGCCGAAGGUGAAAACAGGCUGCUGGGGCUGUGCUGACGCUGAGACACGAAAGCCAGGGGAGCGAACGGG
Molecule: ribosomal RNA, 253 nt
Filed under: uncultured bacterium
Lineage: Bacteria
Description: partial 16S ribosomal RNA
Rfam family: Bacterial small subunit ribosomal RNA
Source: RNAcentral